AAUAGGUACUAGUAAUAACCGAUUAAAUGCCUAUUAUCUUAGGCACGGGCUGGUUCCGGUUCAAACAGGCUUGAAAUUGUUAGUUCACCCUUCACCAAAUGAGUGAAUCGAAACUAAAUUGGAUGAUUCUGGUUUAAUUCAUUCACGGUUUGAGUCAAAUACAAGUUUUAUGGAUUUCGAUUGUGAAUCAGUCCAUGGUCGAGUCUAAAACAAAAUGUUUGAUUCGGAUUUAAUUUCUCUAAAAUCUUCUAUUUUAAAAUUAGGAAGAUUUCAUAAAACUUAAUUGGAAAGAUUUUUUCGCCUUAUCUGUGCAUAUUUUUAUUUGGAUUAAUAAUUGUUACGUUUAUGAGUUUGACUUGAAUAUCAUAAACACUGACAAUGAAUAGGGUACAUAUGGAGACUUGGUG
Molecule: unclassified non-coding RNA, 407 nt
Filed under: Hevea brasiliensis (rubber tree)
Lineage: Eukaryota; Viridiplantae; Streptophyta; Magnoliopsida; Malpighiales; Euphorbiaceae
Source: RNAcentral